AGAACGAACGCUGGCGGCGUGCUUAACACAUGCAAGUCGAACGCGAAAGGGACUUCGGUCCUGAGUAAAGUGGCGCACGGGUGAGUAACGCGUAGAUAACCUGUCUUCAUGUCUGGAAUAAUACGCCGAAAGGGGUACUAAUACCGGAUAUUCUUGCUUUUCAUAAGUUAUGCAAGCAAAGGUGGCCUCUGCAUACGCUACUGCAUGAAGAGGGGUCUGCGUACCAUUAGCUAGUAGGUGGGGUAAUGGCCUACCUAGGCGACGAUGGUUAGCGGGUCUGAGAGGAUGAUCCGCCACACUGGCACUGGAACACGGGCCAGACUCCUACGGGAGGCAGCAGUGAGGAAUAUUGCGCAAUGGGGGAAACCCUGACGCAGCGACGCCGCGUGAAGUGAGGAAGGCCUUCGGGUCGUAAAGCUCUGUCAAGAGGAAAGAAGUGUACAAUGGCUAAUACCUGUUGUAUUUGACGGUACCUCUAAAGGAAGCACCGGCUAACUCCGUGCCAGCAGCCGC
Molecule: ribosomal RNA, 513 nt
Filed under: uncultured bacterium
Lineage: Bacteria
Description: bacterial SSU rRNA
Rfam family: Bacterial small subunit ribosomal RNA
Source: RNAcentral